GAUGAACGCUGGCGGCGUGCCUAAUACGUGCAAGUCGAGCGAACGGACGAGAAGCUUGCUUCUCUGAUGUUAGCGGCGGACGGGUGAGUAACACGUGGAUAACCUACCUAUAAGACUGGGAUAACUUCGGGAAACCGGAGCUAAUACCGGAUAAUAUUUUGAACCGCAUGGUUCAAAAGUGAAAGACGGUCUUGCUGUCACCUAUAGAUGGAUCCGCGCUGCAUUAGCUAGUUGGUAAGGUAACGGCUUACCAAGGCAACGAUGCAUAGCCGACCUGAGAGGGUGAUCGGCCACACUGGAACUGAGACACGGUCCAGACUCCUACGGGAGGCAGCAGUAGGGAAUCUUCCGCAAUGGGCGAAAGCCUGACGGAGCAACGCCGCGUGAGUGAUGAAGGUCUUCGGAUCGUAAAACUCUGUUAUUAGGGAAGAACAUAUGUGUAAGUAACUGUGCACAUCUUGACGGUACCUAAUCAGAAAGCCACGGCUAACUACGUG
Molecule: ribosomal RNA, 497 nt
Filed under: uncultured bacterium
Lineage: Bacteria
Description: partial 16S ribosomal RNA
Rfam family: Bacterial small subunit ribosomal RNA
Source: RNAcentral